This 392-nucleotide ribosomal RNA is filed under the name uncultured bacterium. RNAcentral describes it as "partial 16S ribosomal RNA". It matches the Rfam family "Bacterial small subunit ribosomal RNA", at positions 338 to 727 of the family's 1533-position model. The record is from RNAcentral.
CCUACGGGAGGCAGCAGUGAGGAAUAUUGGUCAAUGGUCGCGAGACUGAACCAGCCAAGUCGCGUGAGGGAUGACGGCUCUAUGGAUUGUAAACCGCUUUUAUAAGGGAAUAAAGUGUGGGACGUGUCCUAUUUUGUAUGUACCUUAUGAAUAAGGAUCGGCUAACUCCGUGCCAGCAGCCGCGGUAAUACGGAGGAUCCGAGCGUUAUCCGGAUUUAUUGGGUUUAAAGGGUGCGUAGGCGGCCUGUUAAGUCAGCCGUGAAAUGCCGUGGCUCAACCAUGGAAUUGCCGUUGAAACUGGGUGGCUUGAGUGUGUUUGAGGCAGGCGGAAUGCGUGGUGUAGCGGUGAAAUGCUUAGAUAUCACGCAGAACCCCGAUUGCGAAGGCAGCCU